AAGUCGAACGAAGUAGCAAUACUUAGUGGCAGACGGGUGAGUAAUAUGUAGGUAUCUUCCCAUUGGUGAGGAAUAACACGAGGAAACUUGUGCUAAUACCUCAUAAGUCUUUACGGAGAAAGCUUUAUGCGCCAAUGGAUGAGCCUGCACUUGAUUAGUUUGUUGGUAGGGUAAUGGCCUACCAAGACAAUGAUCAAUAGCUGAUUUGAGAGGAUGAUCAGCCACAUUGGGACCGAGACACGGCCCAAACUCCUACGGGAGGCAGCAGUAGGGAAUCUUGCACAAUGGGGGAAACCCUGAUGCAGCGAUGCCGCGUGAGUGAAGAAGGCCUUUGGGUUGUAAAGCUCUUUCGUCGGGGAAGAAAAUGACUGUACCCGAAUAAGAAGGUCCGGCUAACUUCGUGCCAGCAGCCGCGGUAAUACGAAGGGACCUAGCGUAGUUCGGAAUUACUGGGCUUAAAGAGUUCGUAGGUGGUUAAAAAAGUUGGUGGUGAAAUCCCAGAGCUUAACUCUGGAACUGCCAUCAAAACUUUUUAGCUAGAGUAUGAUAGAGGAAAGCAGAAUUUCUAGUGUAGAGGUGAAAUUCGUAGAUAUUAGAAAGAAUACCGAUUGCGAAGGCAGCUUUCUGGAUCAUUACUGACACUGAGGAACGAAAGCAUGGGUAGCGAAGAGGAUUAGAUACCCUCGUAGUCCAUGCCGUAAACGAUGUGUGUUAGACGUUGGAAAUUUAUUUUCUGUGUCGCAGCGAAAGCAAUAAACACACCGCCUGGGGAGUACGACCG
RNAcentral lists this ribosomal RNA (781 nucleotides) under uncultured marine bacterium. RNAcentral's name for it is "bacterial SSU rRNA". It matches the Rfam family "Bacterial small subunit ribosomal RNA", at positions 59 to 888 of the family's 1533-position model. The record is from RNAcentral.